This is a non-coding RNA of Pelodiscus sinensis (Chinese soft-shelled turtle), 363 nucleotides long. The record is from RefSeq and is a predicted model, not a curated record. NCBI's taxonomy places the organism in Eukaryota, Metazoa, Chordata, Testudines, Trionychidae.
GAUUCAGAUACGAGAAUCUCCACGUACUGUUAUAAAUUACUGGAAAGAUCCAAUCCCUCCUUUGUCUAUUUUAUAGGUAGUUAUAACAGCAGAAAAUAAUUACAGUAUCGUCUGAUGUCCUGCCUUCAGAGAUGUCUUCUGAACUAAACAAAGUAGAAAUAAAUCACAGUAAACAGCUGCAUAAAACAUGUGCAUCUGAGUGUUAUUACUUUGUUUCCCCAUCUUUGUAGUUUUUAUCCUCCAGUUGAUGAGCCCGCUAUUGGUACAGAAAAAUUGGAUCUGUCUAUGCGUCAAGAAAGAAAUACGAUCUUCGGAGGCAAAACCUUUCUGUUCCUAAGUGCUAAACAGCAUAAGAAACUGAGG